RNAcentral lists this ribosomal RNA (278 nucleotides) under uncultured Staphylococcus sp. Its description in RNAcentral is "partial 16S ribosomal RNA". It matches the Rfam family "Bacterial small subunit ribosomal RNA", at positions 83 to 355 of the family's 1533-position model. Lineage: Bacteria; Bacillati; Bacillota; Bacilli; Caryophanales; Staphylococcaceae. The record is from RNAcentral.
CCUUUGACGUUAGCGGCGGACGGGUGAGUAACACUGGGUAACCUACCUAUAAGACUGGGAUAACUUCGGGAAACCGGAGCUAAUACCGGAUAAUAUUUCGAACCGCAUGGUUCGAUAGUGAAAGANGGUUUUGCUAUCACUUAUAGAUGGACCCGCGCCGUAUUAGCUAGUUGGUAAGGUAACGGCUUACCAAGGCGACGAUACGUAGCCGACCUGAGAGGGUGAUCGGCCACACUGGAACUGAGACACGGUCCAGACUCCUACGGGAGGCAGCAGUC